UUCUCUGACAAUGAGGAUGUUGGCUUAGAAGCAGCCACCAUUCAAAGAAAGCGUAACAGCUCACUCAUCGAGAGUUUCCGCGCCGAAGAUAAUCGGGGCUUAAGCAUGAUACCGAAACUGAGGGCUCGUGAGUUUCAUUGAGGAAAAUUGUUCUUUGGAAAAGAGUGCGAGGCGGUAGCUCAGUGGGAGAGCGCCUAAGCGAAUGGUGUGGUCGAGAUCGGGUUGCGAAAGCGGCCCCACUUCGAUAAAUCCAUGCACCUGUGCCAGCACGGCAAUACAGGUCUUCGCAAGGGAGGUCGAAGGUUCAAUCCCUUCCCGCUUCACCACUCUUUUCAUCACCGCCUCUGGUCGGUAAAACCAGUCCUCAAUGAAACUCGCGAGCGGUAGGAGAGCGUUUCGUAUGCGAUGAAGGUAAAGGGGUGACCCAUGCUGGAGCGUACGGAAGUGAGAAUGCCGGCACAAGUAACCGCAAUGCGGGUGAGAGCCCCGCACGCCGAAAGACUAAGGUUUCCUUGGCGAUGUCAAUCAGCCAAGGGUUAGUCGGUCCUAAGCCGAUGGCGAACGCCGCAGGCGAUGGAUACACGGUUAAUAUUCCGUGACUUUUACGUGUUUCGAUGGGAGGACGGAGCGCAGUAUGCCGCGCGCAUUAUUGGAUUUGCGUCCACGUAGUCAAGGUUGCUCUUUUGGAAAAUCCGGAGAGCUGUCUUCAAUGACACUCCUAAGCUACGGGGAGAUUCCCGCUUCGGCGGGAUAAUGUGGCAAAGCGCGCUUCCAAGAAAAUUCCCUAAGAAUAAAUACGUAGAAACCGUACCGCAAACCGACACAGGUAGUCAGGUCGAGUAGACCAAGGCGAACGAGUGAGUAUUCCCCAAGGAACUCGGCAAAAAAGCAGCCGUAACUUCGGAAUAAGGCUUGCCUCUCGCAAGAGAGGCUGCAACAAAAGUAUCCCUGCCAACUGUUUAUCAAAAACACAGCUCCCUGCGAACUCGUAAGAGGAUGUAUAGGGGGUGACGCCUGACCAAUGCCAGAAGGUCAACUACGGCUGGUGUACGCAUCACACUGCGUGUGAUGCGGAAUUACGAAUAUCGAAUCACGAAUUACGAAUAGUGCGGAUGCAUUUCCUCGUAAUUCUUACUUCGUACUUCGUUAUUCUGACGACAUCGCGCUUGGCGUGAUGCGUAUGCUGAGCUGUAUAAGCCCUGGUGAAUGUCGGCCGUAACUAUAACGGUCCUAAGGUUUCCGGUUUAUCUUCGGAUGAAUCGGGAAGGACUAGGACUGUUGUAAACGAAAUUGAUAAAUAUAAGCUGCCUCACUGUGUAGUAAUACACAGAGGUCCUAAAAUACAUGGCCAUAUGCUGGAAGCGGUCGCCACCGUAAUCAGCAGGGAAGAUCCUAAGAGAAUUCGAAGGAAACCCUCAGAUACCAAACGCCAUGCCCCUAAAUCUCGAUUGAGAUCGGGUGAAGAUAUGGUACAGCGCAAAAUAGGAAGCGCUCAGCGAAAUUCCUUGUCUGGUAAGUUCAGACGUGCACGAAUGGCGUAAUGAGUGGG
Molecule: ribosomal RNA, 1549 nt
Filed under: Candidatus Kaiserbacteria bacterium RIFCSPLOWO2_01_FULL_51_21
Lineage: Bacteria; Candidatus Kaiseribacteriota
Description: partial 23S ribosomal RNA
Rfam family: Bacterial large subunit ribosomal RNA
Source: RNAcentral